GAUGAACGCUGGCGGCGUGCCUAAUACAUGCAAGUCGAACGAAACUUCUUUAUCACCGAGUGCUUACACUCACCGAUAAAGAGUUGAGUGGCGAACGGGUGAGUAACACGUGGGCAACCUGCCCAAAAGAGGGGGAUAACACUUGGAAACAGGUGCUAAUACCGCAUAACCAUAGUUACCGCAUGGUAACUAUGUAAAAGGUGGCUAUACUACCGCUUUUGGAUGGGCCCGCGGCGCAUUAGCUAGUUGGUAGGGUAAAGGCUUACCAAGGCAAUGAUGCGUAGCCGAAUUGAGAGGUUGAUCGGCCACAUUGGGACUGAGACACGGCCCAAACUCCUACGGGAGGCAGCAGUAGGGAAUCUUCCACAAUGGGCGAAAGCCUGAUGGAGCAACGCCGCGUGGGUGAAGAAGGUCUUCGGAUCGUAAAACCCUGUUGUUAGAGAAGAAAGUGCGUGAGAGUAACUGUUCACGUUUCGACGGUAUCUAACCAGAAAGCCACUGCUAACUACGUG
Molecule: ribosomal RNA, 512 nt
Filed under: uncultured bacterium
Lineage: Bacteria
Description: partial 16S ribosomal RNA
Rfam family: Bacterial small subunit ribosomal RNA
Source: RNAcentral